UACGGGGGGGGCAAGCGUUGUUCGGAAUUACUGGGCGUAAAGGGCGCGUAGGCGGACAGUUUAGUCAGAGGUGAAAGCCCAGGGCUCAACCCUGGAAUUGCCUUUGAUACUGGCUGUCUUGAGUUCGGGAGAGGUGAGUGGAAUGCCGAGUGUAGAGGUGAAAUUCGUAGAUAUUCGGCGGAAAACCAGUGGCGAAGGCGACUAACUGGCCGGAUACUGACGCUGAGGCGCGAAAGCGUGGGAGCAAACAGG
Molecule: ribosomal RNA, 252 nt
Filed under: uncultured bacterium
Lineage: Bacteria
Description: partial 16S ribosomal RNA
Rfam family: Bacterial small subunit ribosomal RNA
Source: RNAcentral